Molecule: ribosomal RNA, 253 nt
Filed under: uncultured bacterium
Lineage: Bacteria
Description: partial 16S ribosomal RNA
Rfam family: Bacterial small subunit ribosomal RNA
Source: RNAcentral
UACGUAGGGUGCAAGCGUUACUCGGAAUUACUGGGCGUAAAGCGUGCGUAGGUGGUUCGUUAAGUCUGAUGUGAAAGCCCUGGGCUCAACCUGGGAAUGGCAUUGGAAACUGGCGACCUAGAGUGCGGUAGAGGGUAGUGGAAUUCCCGGUGUAGCAGUGAAAUGCGUAGAGAUCGGGAGGAACAUCUGUGGCGAAGGCGACUGCCUGGACCAGAACUGACACUGAGGCACGAAAGCGUGGGGAGCAAACAGG